RNAcentral lists this transfer RNA (81 nucleotides) under Tardiphaga sp. Its description in RNAcentral is "tRNA-Ser". The stretch from base 14 to 70 matches the Rfam family "tRNA", at positions 8 to 63 of the family's 71-position model. Rfam says of the family: Transfer RNA (tRNA) molecules are approximately 80 nucleotides in length. Lineage: Bacteria; Pseudomonadati; Pseudomonadota; Alphaproteobacteria; Hyphomicrobiales; Nitrobacteraceae. The record is from RNAcentral.
GCGGCCACCGUGUUGUUUAAGUUGGCUUAUAGGCAGCUUCCCAAGCUGCAUACGAGGGUUCGAUUCCCUCCGUCCGCUCCA